AGUGAACGCUGGCGGCGUGCCUAAUACAUGCAAGUCGAACGGAGUGGCGCACGGGGGAGAAUAAUAUAGCUAAUCUGCCCUUUGCUGGAGGACAACAGAUAGAAAUGACUGCUAAUAACCUAUAGCAAGGGAUGAGACUACAUCGUAUCAGCUAGUCGGUGGGGUAUAGGCCUACCGAGGCUAUGACGCGUAACUGGUCUGAGAGGAUGAUCAGUAACAUUGGACCUGAGGCACGGUCCAGACACCUACGGGAAGGAGCAGUAGGGAAUAGCACGCAAGGGGGGAAACCCUAGAGCAGCAACGCCGCGUAGAGGAUGACACUUUUCGGAGCGUAAACUCCGUUUAUUAGGGAUGCGGUACCUAACGAAUAAGCACCGGCUAACUCCGUGCCAGCAGCCGCGGUAAUUC
RNAcentral lists this ribosomal RNA (408 nucleotides) under uncultured bacterium. RNAcentral describes it as "partial 16S ribosomal RNA". It matches the Rfam family "Bacterial small subunit ribosomal RNA", at positions 29 to 526 of the family's 1533-position model. The record is from RNAcentral.